This 526-nucleotide ribosomal RNA is filed under the name Escherichia coli. RNAcentral's name for it is "partial 23S ribosomal RNA". It matches the Rfam family "Bacterial large subunit ribosomal RNA", at positions 344 to 875 of the family's 2925-position model. Lineage: Bacteria; Pseudomonadati; Pseudomonadota; Gammaproteobacteria; Enterobacterales; Enterobacteriaceae. The record is from RNAcentral.
GGAAAGGCGCGCGAUACAGGGUGACAGCCCCGUACACAAAAAUGCACAUGCUGUGAGCUCGAUGAGUAGGGCGGGACACGUGGUAUCCUGUCUGAAUAUGGGGGGACCAUCCUCCAAGGCUAAAUACUCCUGACUGACCGAUAGUGAACCAGUACCGUGAGGGAAAGGCGAAAAGAACCCCGGCGAGGGGAGUGAAAAAGAACCUGAAACCGUGUACGUACAAGCAGUGGGAGCACGCUUAGGCGUGUGACUGCGUACCUUUUGUAUAAUGGGUCAGCGACUUAUAUUCUGUAGCAAGGUUAACCGAAUAGGGGAGCCGAAGGGAAACCGAGUCUUAACUGGGCGUUAAGUUGCAGGGUAUAGACCCGAAACCCGGUGAUCUAGCCAUGGGCAGGUUGAAGGUUGGGUAACACUAACUGGAGGACCGAACCGACUAAUGUUGAAAAAUUAGCGGAUGACUUGUGGCUGGGGGUGAAAGGCCAAUCAAACCGGGAGAUAGCUGGUUCUCCCCGAAAGCUAUUUAGGU